Non-coding RNA from Hemicordylus capensis (graceful crag lizard), 468 nucleotides. The record is from the annotation of a RefSeq genome assembly. Lineage: Eukaryota; Metazoa; Chordata; Lepidosauria; Squamata; Cordylidae.
CUUCCUGAUAAGUCCCUCUGAGAUCCAGUCCUUUUCUCUGCGAUGGCAUCCUCAUUACUGAUAUUAAUUGCUCUAGCUUCCUUCUCUUGUUGUGUCCUUUCACAGCAGGUGGUUCUGACACAGUCAGAUUCAGUGGUGAAAAAACCUGGAGAAUCCCAUAAACUGGCUUGUGCGGUCACUGGAUUCAAUGUGAAUAGCUACUGGAUGAGCUGGAUCAGACAGAAACCUGGCAAAGGACUGGAAUGGCUUGUUUACUAUCUUAGGUCUGGGUACAGUUACAAUGCUUAUUCCCCUGCCAUCCAAGGGCGUUUUACGGCUUCCAAGGACAGCUCCAACUUCUAUCUGCAAAUGAACAGCCUGAAAGCAGAAGACUCAGCCACUUAUUACUGUGCAAGACACACAGUGAGAGGAAUCCCACUAGAUCUCAGACAAAAACUCUUCACUGCAUUGAUCUUCAGAGAUAAGUGA